GAUGAACGCUAGCGGGAGGCCUAAUACAUGCAAGUCGAACGGUAAGGUCCUUCGGGAUACACGAGUGGCGGACGGGUGCGUAACGCGUACGGAUAUACCUUCAACAGGGAGAUACCUCCGGGAAACUGGAAUUAAUACCCCAUAGUAUUAUAGAUUCGCAUGAAUUUAUGAUUAAAGCUCAGGCGGUUGAAGAUUAUCGUGCGUCUGAUUAGGUAGUUGGUGGGGUAAUGGCCUACCAAGCCGACGAUCCAUAGCUGGUUUGAGAGGAUGAUCAGCCACACUGGGACUGAGACACGGCCCAGACUCCUACGGGAGGCAGCAGUGGGGAAUCUUAGACAAUGGGGGCAACCCUGAUCUAGCCAUGCCGCGUGAGUGAUGAAGGCCCUAGGGUUGUAAAGCUCUUUCAGCUGGGAAGAUAAUGACGGUACCAGCAGAAGAAGCCCCCGGCUAACUCCGUG
This 458-nucleotide ribosomal RNA is filed under the name uncultured bacterium. RNAcentral describes it as "bacterial SSU rRNA". It matches the Rfam family "Bacterial small subunit ribosomal RNA", at positions 28 to 507 of the family's 1533-position model. The record is from RNAcentral.